RNAcentral lists this transfer RNA (72 nucleotides) under Camelus bactrianus (Bactrian camel). It matches the Rfam family "tRNA". From Rfam's summary of the family: Transfer RNA (tRNA) molecules are approximately 80 nucleotides in length. Their secondary structure includes four short double-helical elements and three loops (D, anti-codon, and T loops). RNAcentral also lists the same sequence under 2 other names. Lineage: Eukaryota; Metazoa; Chordata; Mammalia; Artiodactyla; Camelidae. The record is from Rfam by way of RNAcentral.
GAGGGUGUAGCUCAGUGGUAGAGCACAUGCUCAGACUGCACGAGGUCCUGGGUUCAAUCCCCAGUACCUCCA